RNAcentral lists this ribosomal RNA (445 nucleotides) under Fusobacterium periodonticum. RNAcentral describes it as "bacterial SSU rRNA". It matches the Rfam family "Bacterial small subunit ribosomal RNA", at positions 28 to 498 of the family's 1533-position model. Lineage: Bacteria; Fusobacteriati; Fusobacteriota; Fusobacteriia; Fusobacteriales; Fusobacteriaceae. The record is from RNAcentral.
GAUGAACGCUGACAGAAUGCUUAACACAUGCAAGUCUACUUGAACUUCGGUUUGGGUGGCGGACGGGUGAGUAACGCGUAAAGAACUUGCCUCACAGUUAGGGACAACAUUUGGAAACGAAUGCUAAUACCUGAUAUUAUGAUUUUAGGGCAUCCUAAGAUUAUGAAAGCUAUAUGCGCUGUGAGAGAGCUUUGCGUCCCAUUAGCUAGUUGGAGAGGUAACGGCUCACCAAGGCGAUGAUGGGUAGCCGGCCUGAGAGGGUGAACGGCCACAAGGGGACUGAGACACGGCCCUUACUCCUACGGGAGGCAGCAGUGGGGAAUAUUGGACAAUGGACCAAAAGUCUGAUCCAGCAAUUCUGUGUGCACGAUGACGUUUUUCGGAAUGUAAAGUGCUUUCAGUUGGGAAGAAAAAAAUGACGGUACCAACAGAAGAAGUGACGGUA